Molecule: ribosomal RNA, 460 nt
Filed under: uncultured bacterium
Lineage: Bacteria
Description: partial 16S ribosomal RNA
Rfam family: Bacterial small subunit ribosomal RNA
Source: RNAcentral
CCUACGGGAGGCUGCAGUGAGGAAUCUUGGUCAAUGGACGCAAGUCUGAACCAGCCAUGCCGCGUGCAGGAAGACGGCUCUAUGAGUUGUAAACUGCUUUUGUACGAAGGUAAACGCAGAUACGCGUAUCUGUCUGAAAUGAUCGUACGAAUCAAGAUAGGCUAACUCCGUUCCAGCAGCCGCGGUAAUACGAAGGAUUCAAGCGUUAUCCGGAUUUAUUGGGUUUAAAGUGUGCGUAGGCGGUUGGAUAAGUUAGAGGUGAAAUCCCGAGGCUCAACUUCGGAAUUGCCUUUGAUACUGGUCGGCUUGAGAGUAGUUGCGGUAGGCGGAAUGUAUUGUGUAGCGGUGAAAUGCUUAGAGAUCAUACAGAACACCGAUUGCGAAGGCAGCUUACCAAGCUACUUCUGACGUUGAGGCACGAAAGCGUGGGGAGCAAACAGGAUUAGAUACCCGAGUAGUC